AAACACAAUGCAAUAAUUUUGUUAUUUUUAUGGAGGGACUGUCUUCUUCCACUGUCCGAGCCUUUUAUAUUUUCUCCAGGACCAAGUUUGAGUUGGUGCACUGCCAUCCCUGCAACUCUUUACUUCUUCUCUUUCAUUUUUCCUUUGUACUCAGUCCUUUUUGCUCGAGAUUGUCGAUGAAGAGAUUACUCUUCGCAGCGUGGUUUAAGUGAUCUCUUCGUGCCGCCAUUUAAUGCUGGUCCUGUCGAUGAGCUGCGUGAGGAAGAUGAUGAAGAACACUCCAAUUUCCUAUAAAAGCAGGAAUUUCUUGCAGGAGGCCAUGCAAAUGAUGCAUCACUGAGACAGCUUGAGACUGCAAAAAUGAGAGGCGCAAAGAACAAGAAGAAGACAUGGAUAAGAGCUCUCUCCCAGCUGCUCUUCAAUUGCAGACAUACGAAGAAGAAGAAGAAGAAGAGUGAGGAAGAGGAAGAAGAAGCGCCAUUGAAGGCCAAGGCAUUGAAGCUUUCAGGAGUAGAGAAGAGGCCAUGGCUAUCAGGUUCAUUUGGUGAGCUUCGCCACAAAAUGGGGCUGUCUUCUUCUUCUUCUUCUUCAGUGUCUCUCUCUUUCUGCUUCACCCCUGCAGAGGCAGGAGAGACCGAGGUGUCCUACAGGAGCUUGGGGCGCCAGAGCCAUGCCAUUGGAGCUCAAGCUUUUGGACCAAUCUAUCUGGUGACAUAAGGCAGAAGAUAAAUGUCAGAUCAAGUGCAAGAGAAUUCAAUUUUAGGUUCUUUUCCUCGUGGUUUUUCUGAACACUAAAGUUUCCGCCUGUGUUAGUUUGAUCUUAGGUUCAAAAUCUUGAAUCGUGCUAAAGUUUCGAUUUUUGAUUGGAAGACUGGAAAUUAUAUUAUUUUGGUAU
This is a long non-coding RNA of Zingiber officinale, 895 nucleotides long. RefSeq lists it as uncharacterized. The transcript is spliced from 2 exons. Lineage: Eukaryota; Viridiplantae; Streptophyta; Magnoliopsida; Zingiberales; Zingiberaceae. The record is from RefSeq and is a predicted model, not a curated record.